CACUUCCGCUUCCUGCCGGGAAUCGAGGGGCGGGACUUCCACAUCAGACGGCGGAACAGGGCUUCCCUCGAGCGUGGGCUUCGCGCUGGGCCUGAGGCCUGGAUCCUGCCCGGAGGACAAGGCUGGGGCAGGAACCAGGCAUGGUUAUAAAGUUGCUCCCCUAAUCACGUUUGCUGUGGUUUUCAUUGGAUGGCCUUUGUGCAGGACUGAGGGUCACAUCUAUUCAAGAGUUAGUGGAGGGGAAUGGGAGGGAAUGGAGGAAAUGGGUGAAGGGGAUAAGAGAUACAGUCUUUGAGUUAUAAAUAAAAUAAUGAAGACAAGA
Panthera uncia (snow leopard) is the source of this 322-nucleotide long non-coding RNA. RefSeq lists it as uncharacterized. The record is from RefSeq and is a predicted model, not a curated record. The transcript is spliced from 2 exons. Lineage: Eukaryota; Metazoa; Chordata; Mammalia; Carnivora; Felidae.